CUACGUGCCAGCAGCCGCGGUAAUACGUAGGGGGCAAGCGUUAUCCGGAUUUACUGGGUGUAAAGGGAGCGUAGGCGGUCUGACAAGUCAGAAGUGAAAGCCCGGGGCUCAACCUCGGGACUGCUUUUGAAACUGCCGGACUAGAUUGCAGGAGAGGUAAGUGGAAUUCCUAGUGUAGCGGUGAAAUGCGUAGAUAUUAGGAGGAACACCAGUGGCGAAGGCGGCUUACUGGACUGUAAAUGACGCUGAGGCUCGAAAGCGUGGGGAGCA
Molecule: ribosomal RNA, 270 nt
Filed under: uncultured bacterium
Lineage: Bacteria
Description: partial 16S ribosomal RNA
Rfam family: Bacterial small subunit ribosomal RNA
Source: RNAcentral